RNAcentral lists this ribosomal RNA (425 nucleotides) under uncultured bacterium. Its description in RNAcentral is "partial 16S ribosomal RNA". It matches the Rfam family "Bacterial small subunit ribosomal RNA", at positions 354 to 796 of the family's 1533-position model. The record is from RNAcentral.
GUGGGGAAUCUUGCGCAAUGGGCGAAAGCCUGACGCAGCCAUGCCGCGUGGAUGAUGAAGGUCUUAGGAUUGUAAAAUCCUUUCACCGGUGAAGAUAAUGACUGUAGCCGGAGAAGAAGCCCCGGCUAACUUCGUGCCAGCAGCCGCGGUAAUACGAAGGGGGCUAGCGUUGCUCGGAAUUACUGGGUGUACAGGGAGCGUAGGCGGACAUUUAAGUCAGGGGUGAAAUCCCGAGGCUCAACCUCGGAACUGCCUUUGAUACUGGGUGUCUUGAGUGUGAGAGAGGUGAGUGGAACUCCGAGUGUAGAGGUGAAAUUCGUAGAUAUUCGGAAGAACACCAGUGGCGAAGGCGACUCACUGGCUCAUUACUGACGCUGAGGCUCGAAAGCGUGGGGAGCAAACAGGAUUAGAAACCCGUGUAGUCC